UACAGAGGCCCCAAGCGUUAGGCGGAAUCACUGGGCUUAAAGCGUGUGUAGGCGGGUUGGUAAGUACCUUGUGAAAUCCCCCGGCUCAACUGGGGAACUGCACAGGAGACUGCUUGGCUUGAGUUCGGGAGAGGGAAGCGGAAUUCCGGGUGUAGCGGUGAAAUGCGUAGAUAUCUGGAGGAACACCGGUGGCGAAGGCGGCCUGCUGGGUUCUGGCUGACACUGAGGCGCGACAGCGUGGGGAGCAAACAGG
This 253-nucleotide ribosomal RNA is filed under the name uncultured bacterium. RNAcentral describes it as "partial 16S ribosomal RNA". It matches the Rfam family "Bacterial small subunit ribosomal RNA", at positions 524 to 776 of the family's 1533-position model. The record is from RNAcentral.